Mercenaria mercenaria is the source of this 805-nucleotide RNA transcript. RefSeq lists it as uncharacterized. The transcript has 6 exons. NCBI's taxonomy places the organism in Eukaryota, Metazoa, Mollusca, Bivalvia, Venerida, Veneridae. The record is from RefSeq and is a predicted model, not a curated record.
UAUCAAUUUUUAUUUCUUUUUUUAAAUAGUCAUGUACUUGUAACCAGGAUUAAAACAACUUCAAUUCCUUAGUAUAUUUAUGUUCCUGAUGUCACUGAAAAUUUUGUUUACUAGUUGGAUCCUAUAAUAAACUUACAACUUAUUCAUUAUUACAGUUGCUGCACAAGAAUUCCACACCUGUUGUGUAAUAUGAUCUGAAGUUCAAGUAAUGAGUUGCUGCAGAAGAAUUCAACACCAGUUGUGUAUUAUGGUAUUGGUAUUUAGCUGAAGUUAAGAUCAUGAGUAUUACAGUUGCUGCAGAAGAAUUCCACACCUGUUGUAUAUUAUGAUCUGAAGUUCAAGUCAUGAGUUGCUGCAGAAGAAUUCAACACCUGUUGUGUAUAAUGAUAUUGGUAUUCAACUGAAGUUCAGAUCAUGAGUACUUCUGAUGAAAACACUUGCGUUUUAUGUGGCGUUAGAGACGACAACCCCACUUCAGUUCUUGGCGACAGGGGAUGCCAGAGCAUCAUAGCAGCCAGCAAGAAUAAGGGUCGAACGUUGGUCGUCUCACCUCGACAGCAAGUUCACAAGGAUUGCAGGAGGAUUUACUGCCACCCCAAUCAGAAUCGUCUCAAUAGCAGCAGCAAAGAAACUUUAUAUACAAGUCCAAGUACUAGACAGUCAUUAGAAUUAUCAUUUGACUUUCGAACGAAGUGUUUUUUCUGUGGAACAAAUGCAACACAUAAACAACAUAAACGUAAACGAGGUAGAGAUGUUCACCCUGUUUUAACAUUAGAGUUUUAAAAGUCUAUUAAAGAUGUUUGUU